GCCUCCUUUGCAAGGCGGGAAUGGAAACGGAGGAAGUACCUCCCCACCCCCAUCCCCACUCCUCCCACUCUCUCCCCAACCCCACCCCUCCCACUCCCUCCCCCCAACUCUCCCUUCUCACCCCACCCCCUCCCACUUGCUCCCCAACCCCCCCACUCCCUCCCCCUACUCUCCCACUCCCUCUCCCCACUCCCCCACUCCCUCUCCCCAGCUCUCCCUCCCCACCCCCACCCCUCCCACUCCCUCCCCGCUCCCUCCCCCCAGCUCUCCCUUCUCACCCCACCCCCCCAUUCCCUCCCCACCCCAUCCUCUCCCACUCUUUCCCCACCCCCCAUUCCCCCCCAUCCCCCAUGACUGUUUUUUACUGGUCAGGUCACAGGCUUUGCUCUGACAGCCAUUUGAGUCUUAUGUCCAAGUAACUUGGCAGAGGACAGAAGCACUGACCCCUGGCCCCCAAUCAGAGAUUUUCAGGCCAACAAGUAGUAGAUUUUUUAGAGCAGACCCAAGGAUCUCUCAAACCCGGCCAGUGAGUGGUUUAGUGAGUGGUUUUUGGGUGCCCAGCCCUGCACUCUGGGCUCCACAGGCAUUAGUUAGUCCUGACAACAAUAGCAUGAGGGAGACAUUUCGAUCGAUCGAACUCCUGUGUGCGGAUGUGAAAAUGGACUCCGAGAAAAGGGACAUAAGCAACUUGCCUACGGUCACAUGGCAGAGCCCCUGUUGGAAGCCAGGUCUUGUGACUUCAAAGCUGAGCUCUGCCACCAUGUUACACUCUUCUCAAAGCAUGUUCCACGGAUAUGUGUUCCCCUAGGUCUUUCGGGAAUGAGAUUGGCCUGUGGUCAGGCUUGGUGGGGAAGUCUUCACUCUAGAUUCAGCUCCACUUCUUGGCAUGGCUCGGGGCAUGUUUACAGAUUAAAGGCUCUGAAGAGUCCUGCGGUGAGUAAAUCUGUUUAACUUUCUCUAACCCAGGGUUCCCCAAACUUAUUUGCACCUGAGAUCCCCACUCCUUUUAAAAAAUGGGACGCGGUUACCAUCCCAGAGAACGUGCUUUGGGAAAUGCCACACAAAAUCACAUUAUCUGUCGUGUUCAGAUAGUGCCUGGCACACAUUAGGAGCUUGAUAAACAUGGGUUGGAUCAAACGAACACACAUUUCCUGAAGAUUUGGUCAUCCUAGUCCAUUGGUCAGUAUUCCUUUCCCUGAAUAUUCUUCAGUUAUUCCUUUCCCUCAGCCGUGGAAGAGACUUCAGAUCUUACAGAUAACCCAUUCCUGAUGGCACCCUUGUGUGGGUCUUCUUGGCUGUGUUGGUCAGUGGGAAGAAAAUUCCCUUUAGUCAGCUUCUGAGGCCUCCCCUAUUUCAGUGGCUCAGAGGUCUCUGUUCUAAGGACAAAGGGAAAGUUCUGAGAUGCUUCCAUUCAAUUUUGGCCCCUGGAAUAUGGGUGUGGAGAGAGGUGUGAAAACCUUCCGCCAUCUGCCCUCCUCGGUUCCUCCAAGCCCCCCAGCAGGACAGUGCAACCCCCCACCCCCAGCAUCCUGCCAGCCCUCGCACCUCCAUUUUCACCUUCUUUGGCCUGCCCCAUCCCCCUCACUCCCUCCUUCAAUUUUUUACACCCUGUCUAUCAGCCUCUCUUUGAACUCCAAGCUGGACUGGAAUCAGAUCCUCACUGGGGGUCAUGAACACACAGCAAGCCAGAGCCCACCCCCCAAAGUGUGAUUGCUGAGGGCUGGGCCUCAGCCUGCUGUGCCUUCAUGUGCAGCCAGGGUCAGGAACCCUUGGUACCUGGGUACCCCUCCCCACUGUUCCUGGCUCUUGAGGGCUGCUGGGGAAACACCACCACCACAAGACUGGCAUUGCCAUAGGCUCCAGCUCCAGCUCAGCGCCACGUGCCAGCCCACACAGAAGACCUGGGUCUUAACCACUUACUAUUCUGGGCCUUCAUCACUCUCCCUGUGCUGCCGCUGACCCCAGGCCUAACACUUAGCUUCUAGUCUCCUAGUACUGGGAAAAAAAAAAAAAAAAUGAGGCCACUGGGAUCACAUGAGCUCCAUCAAAUUCUUGCUCCCUACCGAUUCUGCUGCUUGCCGUCUCCCCUGCUUUCCUGUUAAUUUUAGAAGCAGGCCAAAAUCCAGGUCAAAUCCCCCAGCCUAUGGAGUCAGGCUGCCAGGGUUCCAAUCCCGUUUCUAUCCCUUACUGGCUGUGUGAUCUUGAGCAGGUUUCUUAACUGCCUCAGUGCCUCAGUUUCCCCAUCCGUGAAAUGGGAUAAUACUUGUCUUCACCUUACAGAGUGGAUGGAAGAAUUAAGUGAGGUAGGGCCCCACGGAGAGCUUGACACAGGCCGAGGCUAACAAAGGCUGGUUAUUGUUGCCUCCCUCUCUGCCGCCUCCAAACCUUGUUCCAUCAUCAUGGACCUCUCCCUGUUUCUAGUCCAUUCCUCUCGGCCUGUAAAGACACACACGUCUCUCCCAUCUGAAAAAAAGCUCUCCCAGACUUUCUGUUCCCGAGUCCCCCUUGUCCCUUCUCAUCCAGACUUUUCAGAAAUGUUCUUUAUCAGUUCAUUCCUUCCUUUAUCUCCCUUCUGUUUCUCAGUCCAGGCAUCUGGCUCUACUAAGAGUUCUGAUGUUUGUUGGAGUCUCCAAGGACCUGGCCAAAACCUAGGGUGCGUCUCCGUCCCCGACCCCUGCCUGCUGCACUUAGCUCUGUCCAUCAUUUCCUCCUCUGUGAAGCGGUGGUCGGAUCUCCUCAUACUUCCUCUGCCUUUCCCUCUCUGUCUCCUCAGGGCUCUCACCCGCUGCUCACACAGGAAGGCUGUGGGGACCCUGAGUCUGACCUUGGCUUAAGGGUCUCCUCUGCUCUCACACUCCUUUCAGGUGAUCUUAGCAGCACCCAUGGCUUCUACUUCCACUUGAUAGUUGAUCCCUGCUGUGGCCGGUGUUGUGUUCGGCCUUCAAUCCCUCUUGAAGUUCUAAUCCCCGGUGCUACUAAUAUGCAGACAGGGGCUCUAAGAAGGUAAUUAAGAUUAAAUGAGGUUAUAAGUUGAGGGCCCUAAUCUGAUAGGACUGGUGUCCUUGUACAAAGAGGAAGAGAUACCAGAGAUCUCUCUCUCUCUCUUUCUGGGCUUGUACAAAGUAAAGGUCACAUGAGGACACAGCGAGAAGGUGACAUCCAUAAGCUGGGAAGAGGGGUCUCACCAGAAACCAACUCUGCUGGCACCUUGAUCUUGGACCUCCAGCCUCUAGAACUGUGACAAAAUUAACUUCUGUUGUUCAAGCCACCCACUCUGUGGCAACUCGUUAUGACAGACGGUGCUGCCUAAUGCAAUACCUAAGUAUACCAGUUAGCUUUCCUACACAACAAACCAU
This 3356-nucleotide long non-coding RNA is filed under the name Sus scrofa (pig). RNAcentral describes it as "lncRNA (ENSSSCG00000059565.1)". The record is from RNAcentral. Lineage: Eukaryota; Metazoa; Chordata; Mammalia; Artiodactyla; Suidae.